RNAcentral lists this ribosomal RNA (348 nucleotides) under Triticum aestivum (bread wheat). RNAcentral describes it as "partial small subunit ribosomal RNA". The record is from RNAcentral. Lineage: Eukaryota; Viridiplantae; Streptophyta; Magnoliopsida; Poales; Poaceae.
AUGAUGCCAAGCCUUUGGAGGAAUCUGAAAGGAGAAGCAAUACUCAAGAGUGCGAGAGUUGACAGAGAAUGUGCUGACAAUCUAAUUCCGAUGGAACUGGCCCUUAAAAUUACAACCAAGAUUACAGUUGGUAUGAGUUACUUGCUGAGAGUCAGAAAUUACAACCAAGAUUUUGUAACACGACUUUUAAACCAAGAGAUUUUUCAUCUUAGAUGCUACCGACAUGAGCUGGUAAUGUCGUGCUACCAUGGAGAAAACAUAGCUAGGGCGCUCCCCGGCCUGGAGCUCUGCUACUCCAUGACGCGGAGGUUCCUCGACAAGCAGACGGCGGUGGUCGGGCAGGUGUAG